GGGCUCUUAGCUCAGCCGGUCAGAGCGCAUCCUUCACAUGGAUGAGGUCGGUGGUUCGAGUCCACCAGAGCCCACCA
RNAcentral lists this transfer RNA (77 nucleotides) under Candidatus Saccharibacteria bacterium QS_5_54_17. Its description in RNAcentral is "tRNA-Val". It matches the Rfam family "tRNA". Rfam says of the family: Transfer RNA (tRNA) molecules are approximately 80 nucleotides in length. Lineage: Bacteria; Candidatus Saccharimonadota. The record is from RNAcentral.